Molecule: ribosomal RNA, 251 nt
Filed under: uncultured bacterium
Lineage: Bacteria
Description: partial 16S ribosomal RNA
Rfam family: Bacterial small subunit ribosomal RNA
Source: RNAcentral
ACGUAGGGAGCAAGCGUUGUCCGGAUUCACUGGGCGUAAAGAGCACGUAGGCGGUUAAUUAAGUCAGGUGUGAAAGUUUUCGGCUCAACCGGAAAAGUGCACUUGAAACUGAAUAACUUGAGUAUCGGAGAGGUAAGCGGAAUUCCUAGUGUAGCGGUGAAAUGCGUAGAGAUUAGGAAGAACACCGGUGGCGAAGGCGGCUUACUGGACGAUAACUGACGCUGAGGUGCGAAAGCGUGGGGAGCGAACAG